RNAcentral lists this ribosomal RNA (1210 nucleotides) under metagenome. Its description in RNAcentral is "SSU rRNA". It matches the Rfam family "Eukaryotic small subunit ribosomal RNA", at positions 558 to 1790 of the family's 1831-position model. The record is from RNAcentral.
AGUCUGGUGCCAGCAGCCGCGGUAAUUCCAGCUCCAAUAGCGUAUAUUAUUAUUGUUGCGGUUAAAAAGCUCGUAGUUGGAUCUCGGUUUCGGGCGAGCGGUGUACCUUGCGGUAUUUACUGUUUGCCCGGACGAUUUUGUUGGUUCGUUUAUGGUUCUCUUAACCGAGUGCCAUAAGUGGCCAGCACGUUUACUUUGAAAAAAUUGGAGUGCUCAAAGCAGGCGCUACAGCCUGAACAUUAGUGCAUGGAAUAAUGGAAUAGGAUCUCGGUUCUAUUUCGUUGGCUUUCGGAGUCGAGGUAAUGAUUAAUAGGGACAGACGGGGGCAUUCGUACUGCGACGUUAGAGGUGAAAUUCUUGGAUCGUCGCAAGACGAACUACUGCGAAAGCAUUUGCCAAGAAUGUUUUCAUUAAUCAAGAACGAAAGUUAGAGGUUCGAAGGCGAUCAGAUACCGCCCUAGUUCUAACCAUAAACGAUGUCGACCGGCGAUCCGUUAUCGUUAACUGAAUGACUUAACGGGCAGCCUCCGGGAAACCAGAGUGUUUGGAUUCCGGGGGAAGUAUGGUUGCAAAGCUGAAACUUAAAAGAAUUGACGGAAGGGCACCACCAGGAGUGGAGCCUGCGGCUUAAUUUGACCCAACACGGGAAAUCUCACCAGGCCCGGACACCGGAAGGAUUGACAGAUUGAGAGCUCUUUCUUGAUUCGGUGGGUGGUGGUGCAUGGCCGUUCUUAGUUGGUGGAGCGAUUUGUCUGGUUAAUUCCGAUAACGAACGAGACUCUGGCCUACUAACUAGACGUUAGAUCCCUUUGUGGGUCUAUCGCAGCUUCUUAGAGGGACGGGCGGCGUUUAGCCGCACGAGAUUGAGCAAUAACAGGUCUGUGAUGCCCUUAGAUGUUCUGGGCUGCACGCGCGCUACACUGAAGGAAUCAGCGUGUGUUCCCUACCCGAAAGGGUUGGGAAACCCGUUGAACCUCCUUCGUGAUGGGGAUUGGGGAUUGCAAUUAUUCCCCAUGAACGAGGAAUUCCCAGUAGGCGCGAGUCAUAAGCUUGCGUCGAUUACGUCCCUGCCCUUUGUACACACCGCCCGUCGCUACUACCGAUCGAGUGAUUUAGUGAGGCCUUCGGACUGGUCUUCAGUAUGGCUUUCGGGUCGUGUUGGAGUACCGGAAAGAUGACCAAACUUGAUCACUUAGAGGAAGUAAAAGUC